CAGUCGCCGCGGGAAUGCAGAGGGUGCGAGCGUUAAUCGGAUUUACUGGGCGUAAAGCGUGCGCAGGCGGUUAUAUAAGACAGAUGUGAAAUCCCCGGGCUCAACCUGGGAACUGCAUUUGUGACUGUAUAGCUAGAGUACGGCAGAGGGGGAUGGAAUUCCGCGUGUAGCAGUGAAAUGCGUAGAUAUGCGGAGGAACACCGAUGGCGAAGGCAAUCCCCUGGGCCUGUACUGACGCUCAUGCACGAAAGCGUGGGGAGCAAACAGGAUUAGAUACCCCCGUAGUCCCUGUCUCUUAUAC
Molecule: ribosomal RNA, 301 nt
Filed under: uncultured bacterium
Lineage: Bacteria
Description: partial 16S ribosomal RNA
Rfam family: Bacterial small subunit ribosomal RNA
Source: RNAcentral